AUGUGUUUUUUGAGUUAUAUACCUCAGUUUUGUUUUCAUUCCAUCAUCAGGUCUAUUUUAUCUUCAAAAGAUAUUUUCGAAUGGAAAGAAGGAUUAAAAUUUUUGCCAAAUUUGGGACCAGGAAGAAAUUUCCACCGCAUUCCCAUGACUUGGAUUGUGGUGGAUCCUUUCACUUCCUCUGAAUCAACAAAGACGGGAUCAUCAGGUAGGCAUACCUCACUCAGAAGUUUUCUUUCAUUUGCUAGGUGCUGUACUAAAAGCAAAUUGAAAAUUUGUAUUUUUGACCUAGUUUUCAUCCUGCUCUAGAAUAUGUAUUCAGUACUUCAGAGAACAGCAUACCAUUUCUAAAUAACAUCAUUCCAGCCUCAGUUAAAAAAUUACUAAUAAUGCUAUUAACUAUAGAGGAAAAAAAUCUGCAUUAUAUUUUCAGGUCAGUUUCCUAAAAGCCUGAUGUAAUUCCAUUAUCUAUUUUCAACUACAGUAACUCCUCGCUUAACAUUGUAGUUAUGUUCCUGAAAAAUGCUACUUUAAGUGAAACAAUGUUAAGUGAAUCCAAUUUCCCCAUAAGAAUUAAUGUAAAUUGUGGGGGUUAGGUUCCAGGGAAUUUUUUUUCGCCAGACAAAAGACUAUUUCUGUGUGUGUAUAUGUGUGUGUGUGUGUAUACAUAUAUAUAUAUACACACACAUAUACACAGUAUAUGUUUUAAACAAUUUAAUACU
This 719-nucleotide long non-coding RNA is filed under the name Chrysemys picta bellii (western painted turtle). RNAcentral's name for it is "lncRNA (ENSCPBG00000006876.1)". Lineage: Eukaryota; Metazoa; Chordata; Testudines; Emydidae. The record is from RNAcentral.